CCAAUAGCGUAUAUUAAAGUUGUUGCAGUUAAAAAGCUCGUAGUUGAAUUUCGGGGUCAAUAGGUUGGUCGUGCCAAUGGUAUGUACUGGCUUUAUUGAUUCCUACCUCUUGACGAACUGUGAUGCCAUUAAUUUGGUGUUGCAGGAAAUCAGGACUGUUACCUUGAAAAAAUUAGAGUGUUUAAAGCAGGCUUACGCUUGAAUACAUUAGCAUGGAAUAAUGAAAUAGGACGUUUGAACCUAUUUUGUUGGUUUCUAGGAUCGACGUAAUGAUUAAUAGGGAUAGUUGGGGGCAUUAGUAUUCAAUUGUCAGAGGUGAAAUUCUUGGAUUUAUUGAAGACUAACUACUGCGAAAGCAUUUGCCAAGGAUGUUUUCAUUAAUCAAGAACGAAAGUUAGGGGAUCGAAGACGAUCAGAUACCGUCGUAGUCUUAACCAUAAACUAUGCCGACUAGGGAUCGGAUGAUGUUAAUUUUUUAAUGACUCAUUCGGCGCCUUACG
This 500-nucleotide ribosomal RNA is filed under the name uncultured Glomus. Its description in RNAcentral is "SSU rRNA". It matches the Rfam family "Eukaryotic small subunit ribosomal RNA", at positions 591 to 1092 of the family's 1831-position model. Lineage: Eukaryota; Fungi; Glomeromycota; Glomeromycetes; Glomerales; Glomeraceae. The record is from RNAcentral.